Molecule: ribosomal RNA, 460 nt
Filed under: uncultured bacterium
Lineage: Bacteria
Description: bacterial SSU rRNA
Rfam family: Bacterial small subunit ribosomal RNA
Source: RNAcentral
GGGCCCGCACAAGCAGUGGAGUAUGUGGUUUAAUUCGAAGCAACGCGAAGAACCUUACCAGGUCUUGACAUCCAUCGAAUUUUCAAGAGAUUGAGAAGUGCCCUUCGGGGAACGAUGAGACAGGUGGUGCAUGGUUGUCGUCAGCUCGUGUCGUGAGAUGUUGGGUUAAGUCCCGCAACGAGCGCAACCCUUAUUUAUAGUUGCUACGGAAGAGCACUCUAUAGAGACUGCCGUUGACAAAACGGAGGAAGGUGGGGAUGACGUCAAAUCAUCAUGCCCCUUAUGACCUGGGCAACACACGUACUACAAUGGCCGAAACAAAGGGAAGCAAGAGAGCGAUCUGGAGCGAAUCCCAAAAAGCGGUCUCAGUUCGGAUUGUAGGCUGCAACUCGCCUACAUGAAGAUGGAAUUGCUAGUAAUCGCGGAUCAGCAUGCCGCGGUGAAUACGUUCCCGGGCCUU